This 497-nucleotide ribosomal RNA is filed under the name uncultured bacterium. RNAcentral's name for it is "partial 16S ribosomal RNA". It matches the Rfam family "Bacterial small subunit ribosomal RNA", at positions 28 to 507 of the family's 1533-position model. The record is from RNAcentral.
GAUGAACGCUGGCGGCGUGCCUAAUACAUGCAAGUCGAGCGAACGGACGAGAAGCUUGCUUCUCUGAUGUUAGCGGCGGACGGGUGAGUAACACGUGGAUCACCUACCUCUAAUACUGGGAUAACUUCGGGGAACCGGAGCUAAUACUGGAUCAUAUUUUGAACCGCAUGGUUCAAAAGUGAAAGACGGUCUUGCUGUCUCUUUUAGCUGGAUCCGCGCUGCAUUAGCUAGUUGGUAAGGUAACGGCUUACCAAGGCAACGAUGCAUAGCCGACCUGAGAGGGUGAUCGGCCACACUGGAACUGAGACACGGUCCAGACUCCUACGGGAGGCAGCAGUAGGGAAUCUUCCGCAAUGGGCGAAAGCCUGACGGAGCAACGCCGCGUGAGUGAUGAAGGUCUUCGGAUCGUAAAACUCUGUUAUUAGGGAAGAACAUAUGUGUAAGUAACUGUGCACAUCUUGACGGUACCUAAUCAGAAAGCCACGGCUAACUACGUG